ACACGGAGGGUGCAAGCGUUACCCGGAAUCACUGGGCGUAAAGCGCGCGCAGGCGGCUAUUUAAGUUGGAUGUGAAAGCCUACGGCUCAACCGUAGAACUGCAUCCAAAACUAUUUAGCUAGAGUGUGGGAGAGGAAGAUGGAAUUAGUUGUGUAGGGGUAAAAUCCGUAGAGAUAACUAGGAAUACCAAAAGCGAAGGCAAUCUUCUGGAACACUACUGACGCUGAGGCGCGAAAGCAUGGGGAGCAAACAGGAUUAGAAACCCUAGUAGUCC
This 274-nucleotide ribosomal RNA is filed under the name uncultured bacterium. RNAcentral describes it as "partial 16S ribosomal RNA". It matches the Rfam family "Bacterial small subunit ribosomal RNA", at positions 523 to 796 of the family's 1533-position model. The record is from RNAcentral.